UACAGAGGGUGCAAGCGUUAAUCGGAAUUACUGGGCGUAAAGCGUGCGUAGACGGUGAUGUAAGUCGGGUGUGAAAGCCCCGGGCUCAACCUGGGAAUGGCAUUCGAGACUGCAUCGCUAGGGUGCGGAAGAGGGAAGCGGAAUUUCCGGUGUAGCGGUGAAAUGCGUAGAUAUCGGAAGGAACAUCAGUGGCGAAAGCGGCUUCCUGGUCCAGCACCGACGUUCAGGCACGAAAGCGUGGGGAGCAAACAGG
RNAcentral lists this ribosomal RNA (253 nucleotides) under uncultured bacterium. RNAcentral describes it as "partial 16S ribosomal RNA". It matches the Rfam family "Bacterial small subunit ribosomal RNA", at positions 524 to 776 of the family's 1533-position model. The record is from RNAcentral.